This 2092-nucleotide long non-coding RNA is filed under the name Homo sapiens (human). RNAcentral's name for it is "long independently transcribed non-coding RNA 520 (LINC00520)". The record is from RNAcentral. Lineage: Eukaryota; Metazoa; Chordata; Mammalia; Primates; Hominidae.
CAUGUAAGAUAUGACUGUGCUCCUCCUUCACCUUCUGCCAUGAUUGUGAGGCCUCCACAGCCAUGUGGAACUCCAUGAGUAUGACUAUGUGCUGAGUCCUGUGAGUCCUCCUACUGAAUCAUCAAAGCCAGGGGGGAAGCUGUUUUUCCCUCUUUGGGGUCUCAGAGAGAUUGGUGGCAAGGACUCCUGGGAAGAGAAAAGCUGAAGGACACUCUGGCAAGAGGUACCACCUCUCACUGGCUGCCCAAGCAAGAUUCUAUGGCUUGGAAUAAUUCUCAGCGACUCACUCAUCAAAGGGCAUCUAUCUAGAAGCCCUGCUCCUUCAGGGACAUCUGAGGUUGAUGAGCUGAUCCAAUAAGCCAUCAGAGCUGGAAUAGUAGUAGUUAACAAUGGCUCUCUGCACUCUUUUUAAAUAACUUUGCUUUUCAGGCCAAGGUGAGAGCCUCGUGGGAAUUUCACAAAUUUUAUAGAAGCAGAGGAGUGCUAUUUGAGCAAGGGGCGGAUAACACCUACAAUCCACUCAGGAUUUCCAAGCAUAGCCGGAUGCAGAAGUACUCAUACUUCACUACAGAAUCACCUGGGGAGCUUUUAACCUUCUGAUUCUAGUGUUUCCCUCUGGCAGAUGGAGACAGAAACUUGACUGGGCUCAGGAAUAUGUGUUUUUAAAAUUCUCCAGAAGAUUUUAAUGCAGUACAAGUAAGAAGACAGGACUGCAAUUCACAAGAACAGUAUAUCCUGGUGAUUCCUCAGAACAGAACAGACUCAAAAAAAAAAAAAAAAGAAGAAGACAAAAACAAAGAUAACAUGAAACCAGAUUCCACAACCAUGUUUCAAGUGACCUAUGUGAGUCAGGCCCAUGAGACACAUACUACACCAGUUUCAGUGAAGCCUCACAAAAUUUAGGGGGGUAGAGGAAAGGGUCCUAUGCCCAUUUCAUAGAUGAACAAACUAAGGACUUAAUAGAUUUCAACAAUUUGUUCAAAGUCUCUACCUUAAAGGAUUUUGGGGUUCUGGUUUUUGUUUUUACCUGCCCUGGUAACUCUUCUAAGAAUGAGCCAAGAAGAAGACAACCUUCUAAGAUACUUUUCCUGCCCUCCAAGGGCUGUGGAGAAUCUGAUAGGGUUGGAGCUGCCCUCUCCUCUUCCCAGAGACACUGCCCCACAAUCCCAUCAAGUCUGACUGGUACCAACGACUCCAGGGGGCCUCUGCCUUCAGAACUGUAUAGGCCUGUGUGGGCACCAGUCUUUACAUCCAUGUUCCCUCUCCCUCGAGGACCCAGGUUGACCUGUCCAAGAGCUCUCUCAUCAUGCUGAAUUUUGGUGACAGCAUAGGGUGAGCCUGUGGAUUCUACAGCUCAGCAAACCUCCAGCCAAGUAGUUUCCCUUCAUAUGGUUCCCCAGUCUUUACAUGUGGCAUCCAAGAAGGGAAAGUAUCCCCUCUCCCUUGAUGAGAUGUCAGCCCCUCACCACACAUGGCCUGGGUGCUAGGAGGACCCAUACGGGCUAGGGAGGGGCCACUGGGAGGGGAAUGUGUAGGGGGCAGACCCCAUCUAGCUGCUUCUUGAUGAGCCUGGCAUGGAGUGUUUGAUCCAAAUCUUGACAGCACAUUGGUGGCUGUUGUCACUGUGUGGCAGGACUUGCAGUUGAGCUUCUUGUGCCUUGGACUUCUUGUGACUUGGACCUCAGCCUCCAUUGAAGACCGUAACACAAGUCCCAACUUACAAACAAAUGAGGGAAUGAAUGAGCUUUGGCAUUGGAAAAACCUGGGUUCAAAUCCUGGCUACUCUACUUCCUGUGUCAGUUGCUUCACUUUUCUAAAUAUAAAUUGUGUUCCUUCUGUUUUGGCUUCUAGGAAACCCCGAGCCAAACGUAUGGCCACCUCUGACCACUCGACCAGCCCAGCAUGGUGUACAUUUCUGGGUAGCUUAUCACGCCUUCCAAGCAUUGCCUUUAUCUUCCUUCUCCCCAUCAAGCCUGUAUUGUUUUCCUUUUGAAUCAUAAGCACUUUUGUUAAAUACCUCAAAUCUUUCGAGAACAGCAAGGAGCAAAAUAAACUUAACUUCUCUGAGAAAAAAAAAAAAAAAAAAAAAAAA